RNAcentral lists this ribosomal RNA (468 nucleotides) under uncultured bacterium. RNAcentral describes it as "partial 16S ribosomal RNA". It matches the Rfam family "Bacterial small subunit ribosomal RNA", at positions 28 to 507 of the family's 1533-position model. The record is from RNAcentral.
GACGAACGCUGGCGGCGUGCUUAACACAUGCAAGUCGAACGGAAAGGCCCUGCUUUUGUGGGUUGCUCGAGUGGCAAAGGGGUGAGUAACCCGUGAGUAACCUGCCCUUGACUUUGGGAUAACUUCAGGAAACUGGGGCUAAUACCGGAUAGGAGCCCCGGCUGAAUGUGGGGGUUUGGAAAUUUUCGGCGGUUGGGGAUGGACUCGCGGCUUAUCAGCUUGUUGGUGGGGUAGUGGCUUACCAAGGCUUUGACGGGUAGCCGGCCUGAGAGGGUGACCGGCCACAUUGGGACUGAGAUACGGCCCAGACUCCUACGGGAGGCAGCAGUGGGGAAUAUUGCACAAUGGGCGGAAGCCUGAUGCAGCAACGCCGCGUGCGGGAUGACGGCCUUCGGGUUGUAAACCGCUUUCGCCUGUGACGAAGCGUGAGUGACGGUAAUGGGUAAAGAAGCACCGGCUAACUACGUG